RNAcentral lists this ribosomal RNA (497 nucleotides) under uncultured bacterium. RNAcentral describes it as "partial 16S ribosomal RNA". It matches the Rfam family "Bacterial small subunit ribosomal RNA", at positions 28 to 507 of the family's 1533-position model. The record is from RNAcentral.
GAUGAACGCUGGCGGCGUGCCUAAUACAUGCAAGUCGAGCGAACGGACGAGAAGCUUGCUUCUCUGAUGUUAGCGGCGGACGGGUGAGUAACACGUGGAUAACCUACCUCUAAGACUGGGAUAACUUCGGGAAACCGGAGCUAAUACCGGAUAAUAUUUUGAACCGCAUUGUUCAAAAGUGAAAGACGGUCUUGCUGUCACUUAUAGAUGGCUACGCGCUGCAUUAGCUAGUUGGUAAGGUAACUGCUUACCAAGGCAACGAGGCAUAACCGACCUGAGCGGGAGGACGGCCAGACUGGAACUGAGGAACAGUCCAGACGCCGACGGGGGGCAACAGUAGAGAAUCUUCCGCGAGGGGCGAAAGCCGAACGGAGCAACACCGGGGGAAGGAUGAAGGACUACGGAUCGGAAAACUAUGUUAGUAGGGGAGAACAAAAGUGUAAGUAACUGUGCACAUCUUGACGGUACCGAGACAAAAAGCCACGGCUAACUACGUG